UCGGGAUAGCUCAGUUGGUAGAGCAGAGGACUGAAAAUCCUCUGUCACGUUUCAAUAAA
RNAcentral lists this transfer RNA (59 nucleotides) under Aletris pauciflora var. pauciflora. Its description in RNAcentral is "partial tRNA-Phe". The record is from RNAcentral. Lineage: Eukaryota; Viridiplantae; Streptophyta; Magnoliopsida; Dioscoreales; Nartheciaceae.